RNAcentral lists this long non-coding RNA (6810 nucleotides) under Sus scrofa (pig). Its description in RNAcentral is "lncRNA (ENSSSCG00050045263.1)". The record is from RNAcentral. Lineage: Eukaryota; Metazoa; Chordata; Mammalia; Artiodactyla; Suidae.
UUUUUUUUUUUUUUUCUCCCUUGGGUCUUGGCAACUAAUGUAGUCAGUCAUCUGAAUUAGUGACAGAUCUUUCUCCAUGCUUAGGUACCAUUUUAUUUUAUUUCCUAAUUAUUUAAACAUGUGCAUGAUGAUCAUGGAACACUGCCCUAUAGACUAUGUCUGGUUUUAGUCUCUCGAAUUGCAGUACGACCAUCAGCAUUAGUGAUGACAACCUCAGAUGGUUCUAUGAUGUAGUUUGGUUUGGAAAUCAUUUAUGUUGCUUGGUUUUUUAAUUUGAAACUCACUUGACUGUUGGGGUCUUCAAGGGUUAUGUUCUCUCUUACUUCCAGGCAGCCAGGCACAUUUAUAUUUGGUGGCGGGUCUGCUCCAUCCCACUCCGCUCGGGGCUCUCUGAUUUCUUACAUACAUCCCUCCUCUGUGAAGCUUUCUCUCAAAUUACUAAAGCUAGAUUUGUCAAGCCUCCCUAGUUGAAGGGUGACAUCUUGUAUACAUUUGGUAAGCAUAGCUCUUCUUUACCAAAUUCGGACUCCUUAGACCUUGGUUUUCAUCACAGAAUUAUAAAUGCUCAUAUUAUCUCUUCCCUUAUGCUUUCAGAGAUUUGUGGAGUUUCGACUGAGUCUUUGUCCAGUGUGGCUGUUGGGCCGCUGCUUGCUUAUUCACCUAAGUGGCAAAUAUAGCCUGGAAACAGAGGCAAACAAAGGCGAAGAGUAGCCUUACCACCUUGGUGGGGAGACUGUGCAGAGAGUAUUUUGCAUCUAGAGACAUAGUCUUCUUCCUGAAUAUAGAUCACUGUUUGGGAGCAUAAAUGUUUCUUCUGGGCCGUGUGUGUCAGUGAGGGUGUUUCUGCGUGGGUGUGCACUCCCCUGCGUGCACUUAAUUCAGUGUCACCUGCCGGGUGAGCAGAGGCCCACUCGUCAUGUGUCUCCCCUGGGGAGGGAAUAUGGGAGAGACGAUCCCAGUGGCCUACGACCCUUGCUGAAUGCUCAGGAUACAUCCUGCCCCAGUUCAGUGUUAGCAGAGCUCAAUUUAGACUUUGGAAAAUGGACCUAUAGGGAUUCUUUGGUCAUGUGGACUGUCCAGGGGAGGGACGAAGAGAGCUGCUAGGGAAAGGGGAAAGCCUGGGAGCAGGGGGUAGAGGUGGCCUGGAAUGCAGUUGGUGAAGGGCUGGGCUCUAACAGAUUUGAGGCUCCCUCUCUCUUGAGCUGUCCUGAUGGCAGGUGCGCAAGGGUAGGGACUGAGUCAUGUUGACCGAGAGCCUUUUAUUGGGAAUGGUUUAAAAUUUGGGUGCCUUUGGCUUUGGACUGUAGAAACAGGCCCAUAAAAUGCAGCAUUGCAAUGUCCUGCCUUCAUGCUGCUGUGAUUCUCUUCAAUUGGCUGCCACGCUUGGUAAAUGGUGAUACUUUAUGCAGCCUUGUGUGCAGACGAUGUGAAUGAAGUGGGGGUGGGGGUGGACGGUGAAGGGAGGUUGGCCUCCCACCCUGAGCCUGUUGGAGGAGCAACAUCCUGACAGGGGAAGCUAGAAGCUGCUAGUUCCAGGGGGCUGUGAGUGGUGGCAGGUGCAGGUGGAAAAAGCCAGGCAGAGCAGCGACAUGAAAUGCAGCUGCCUGCAGGACUCAGGAGGGGACCUCCAUGCACUUCAACACGUACUUCCUGAGCACAUAUUAUGUGCUCGGUCCUGUUUUAGGCCCUUGGAAUAAACCCAACAGGGACACAAACGAAGGUCCCUGAUCUUGUGGGGACUGCAUUCUAGGAGAGGCUGAGGGUGGCGACAGAAAAUAAAUCGUAUAAAUUUAAAAAUACAUAAAUGUAUUUAUUUCUAACCCAUAAAUAACUUAGAGGCUGAGUUGUGUCAUGGGACAAAGAAAGAAGAGAGCAGGAUGAGGCAGAUGAGGGGUGCUAUGCAGGAGGGAGGAUAUUUCAAAGUGGUGCAACCAGGGAAGUCUGGUUGAAAUGAUGUACUUUGAUCUGGGGAAGGACCUGAAGGGUGAGAGAGGGCGCUGAAAGGUUAUCGGGAGGAAGAAUGUUCCAGACAGAGCCAACAGCAAAUGCAAAUGUUCCAGACUGAGGGAAGAGCAAAUACAAAUGUCCCAGGGAGAGCGUGUGCCCAGGUUUCCCUGAGGAGCAGAGAGGAAGGCAAGGCGAGGGGCACGAGUGGGUGAGGGCAGAUUGGAAGGAGAGAGGUCGGAGUUGCCUUGGAAGCGCCUCCUGGAGAACUGACAGCCCUUUGCCGUGAUUUUAUUCUGAUGUCCGUGCCCAGGAAAUGACCUGACCUGCUUUUAAGAGACUCCGAUUUCUUGGUUGAGAAUUGACCGUCAGGUUGGAAAAUGUGGAGCAGGGAGAACCUUGGAAACCAGCGCAUGGUCCAGUGAAGGGUGGGAUGUCAGGAGGCAAGAUGAAUUUCCCUGUAUAGCAAAAUAUUAACUUUACAUUUAGGUUUUGGAGUUCCCAUCAUGGCUCAGCAGUUAAUGAACCCGACCAGUAUCCAUGAGGAUGAGGAUUCGAUCCCUGACCUCGCUCCAUGGGUGAAGGAUCCGGCAUUACCAUGGCUGUAGUGUAGGCCAGCAGCUGCAGCUCUGAUUCAACCCCUGGCCUGGGACUCUCCAUGUGCUGUGUGCGUGGCCCCCAAAAGACAAAAAUAACUAACUAAAUAACUUAUUAUAGGUUGGAGGGGUAGUAUAAAAUGCUAUGCUCAAAUGCCUGAAUUUAGUUUUCAUAUGCUAUGUAAAAGUUUGUUUAUAGUUUCCCUAAUUACUUAUUAUGCUUUUUCACCUUCCUGAUGUACAUAUCAUGAGCUAAACUGCAUAUUUCCUUUAAAUUCUACCCCUGGAUUUUACAGAGAAGGACUUCCCAUAAUAUUUUGUAUUCGUGGCUCAUAAUUCCAAGGGGAAAAAAAACUAUCAUUGACAGUUAAUUUCUGGCAGCAGGAAGAGUGUACUUGAAAGUAUUGAAAUGAGGUGGGAGGUGGGGAGGGAACAAGAGAAAAUAUAAAUGUUUCUGCAGUGAAGAUUUGAUAGUAAAAUAUAAAAAACCCGAAAGUAACAAUGAAUACAGGUGUGCCUUGCUUUAAGAAGAAAGAUGCCUAGACAUUCACAUGGUCAAGGCAGAAUAUCGAAUUUGACCAGAAAGAGGGCAUUUUGUCAAACCCUCUGACUUUGCAGGUGAGGGACCAGUUGUCUGGGAGAACCACGUGGUGGAGUUCUGCUCCCAGUACAGACUUCCCAUCUCCUGGUGUGUUCCCUGCUGUGCCCCUGCUGCUAGUCAUUAAAGGGGGGUGAUUAUGGGUGUCAUAAAACAGUUCCUCUUUGAACAGCCAGUUCCCCUAGUGAUUUUAAAUAUUUUACAGGCCAUUAACUACACAUUAAAAGACCAGUGGCUAUAGGAGUGUCUAUCAAGCUCGUGCAAAUAUCGAUGAAUUAGAAACAAAUAAGAAUUUUUUGAAGGUAGAAUUUGAACUAAUAGGAAAUGUGAUUUCAUUUUUAAACAUCAGUUAAUAGGGAACCAGUGCCAUCAAGUUAGAUAUUUCUCUGUAGGUUUACAAAGACUGGCAGUCAUGGAUUCUACAAGUGGGAUUGAGCCAAUUGAAAAGGGAAGAUCCAUCUUUUUGUUCUCUGUGCCCAGUACUGUGUCCUUGAUCAGGACUCGGGCGUUGAUUGUUAGUUGAAAUUCAGUGUACUAUAUAGAGUAUCCUCCCACACAGGAGUCUAAAGGCAGCACUACAAAACACAUAUUUACACCUAUACAAUAGAGGUAGGACUUUGCUUAACUCUUCAAAAAUUGAAAUAAUUUGUUUGGCGUUAAUUUUUCAAAUCUCACGGUUACACAAAGCAUUCUUUGGCAGUUUGAUAACUCAAAGGGGAAUGUCAGCUUUUGAGGGGAGCUGCUGUGCCCACAGCAUGCGGAAGUUCCCAGGUCAGGGGUCAAACCCACGCCACAGCAGUAAACAGAGCCACAGCAGUGACCAUGCCAGAUCCUUAACCACUAGGUCAACAGGGAACUCCGGGAAAUGUCAACUUUUAAUGGAUGCAGCCAUAUAUGCCAAAACACUCAUAUAUAUAUAUAUGUGUGUGUAUGUAUGUAUUUAUUCUCACUAAUGGUCUUCUCCCCACUCCAAAAUGUCUGGGAUAGAAAAAAAUGGGGUGAGAAACAGAACAGUGAAAAGGAAACUAGGAAGUUCUAAUAUUUUUCAGCAUUAUCUUUUCCCUUUUUAUGCACUUAUACUUUUGUAAACUACCAUCUAUUUGAAUAUAGAGAAGCAGUAUGGCAUAGCAGUUAAGAUUAUAGGCACUUUGACACUGUAAUUGAGUCAAGUCUGGUUUGGAGCUUAGCAUAAGAGACUCCAUUUUGGCUGGUUGUCUUGGUUUUAACAGUACUUAACACAGCCGACCUGGAUACUUAAAAAUGUUUAAAGAGGUAUAUUUUGUUAUGUGUAUUACGCCACUCACCAAAAAAUAAGGAUUCUUAAAGAAAGAAUAUAGGCUCUAGAGUCUGACACUUAGCCUUGGAUUUCAGAUCUGCCACUUCUUCUUUGUGGGUCCACCAGAGCUCAUUUAACCUCCUUGCAAAAUGAAUGUGAUAACAGAACCUCAUAAGGCUGUUGUGAGUACGUUAACACUUAGAACUUGUACGCACGGUAAACUUUCACUAAAAGUGUUAAAAUCAUGGCUGUAUCUCCUUCAAAAAUAAUUGUGUUUUAUUUUAGGUGGGUAAGCUAAAGUGCACAAUAACCCUCAAUGAUAUUGCUCUGUUCUUUGGAAAUGAACUAGUCAUAAAAAUUUAUAGUCAUCGAAUUUUAUUGUGUGAAUGCACAAAAGGGAAAUUCUGAAAUGUAAUAGAUGAAUUGGAGCAGGAAUUAUACUGAUUGAUUAUGAAUCUGCUCACACCCCCUUGCAUUUUGAUGUUUUUAUCUCAAAGCCAAGAGCUGGCCACAAUGAAUAGAAAUGGAAAGGUAGAGAGCAAUGAAAACUUACUCCAUGUAUGCUUUUUGAAAGGACUGUUUUAAAAUGUGUGAAUUUAUGUAAGGGAAUUUAUAGACAUCACCUGGGGAACUGGUUUAAAUUCUGGGACCACAAAAUUUUAAAGCUGACACCAGGGACCUUAGGAAGCAAAAUCCCAAUCUGUAAUUUUAAAGAAGUGGAAGAAAAUGUGCAGGGUGUUUUAUGACUUGUUUCUGUGAUGAGGCUGCACUUGUUUCCCUUUCCCACGCUUUCCUUCCACUGGGAGGUGUCUGCAUCAUUUCUGGUUUUGCUCUCCCUAUCCACUCAAAAGAGUUAGAUGCUGUAUUAUGUGCCUUGGUGGUUUAGGACAAGAGACUAUUAUUCUUUCACCAUUCUGGAGGCCAGACUCCUGAAAUCCAGGUGGCAGCAAGGCUGUGCUCCCACCAAAGGCUCUGAGGAGUAUCCUUCCUUCCUCUAUCAGCCUUUGGGGGGCUCCAGGCAGAACUUGAGGCUGUAGAACUCUAUGCUCCAUUUUCGCUUGGCCAUCUCCUCUUCUAUAAUAAGAGAACCAUGGGAAUGGGAUUCUUCCCUCCCCCUUAAUCUCUCUCCAGACCCUUGACUUAAUCACAUCUGCAAAGACCCUUCUUCCAAAUGAGGUCACAUGCAUAAGUUCUUGGGUUUAGGACAGGACAUAUCUUUUGGGGGACUACCGGCCCACCCACUACAGGUAUGUUUGCAAUCUUCCAAGUUAGUGUAGUCAUGUGUUUGCCAGUUGUCCUUUCCCUGUAUGAUAAAGGUGGUUUACUUUUUUGGUUUCCCAAUAACAGUUUCUUCACUACUUUUACAGCCUCUACGAAGUUUCCUCUUGCUUUCUGUCUUUGCCUUCCACUGAAUCUCAAAGUCAAUGCCACAUAUUUUAGGCAUUUUUUUUAAAAAGGUAACACCCCAUUUCCAGUGCACAUUUCUGUAUCUUACUGGAUAAAUUAAUCCUAAAUGACUUAAGACAGUAACUUUUUUUUUCUUAAAAAAUGUAAAGAAUAUUGUUUAAAUUGUUCUGGUUUCAGCCAGAUAGUUCUUUGAUAGGUCUUGCUGGAGUCCUUCGUGUUGUUCUAGUCAGACGAUGGGUAGGCUGGGACUGAAUGGUCUAAAAUGGCCUCAGUCACAUGCCUGAAGCUGGAUGCUGACUAUCCUCUGAGCCUCUCUCUCUCCACUGGGCCUCUCAUCCUCUGGGAGGCUAGUUGUGGAGCAAGAGGAUCCAGCUACCCAUCCUGGUGAAGACUCUCAAUGUGUGGGAUGGCAAAGAGCAUCACAGGGUCACAGUGCUCUUACUUGUUUUAUGGGUAUCUGCAGUGGGCGCCUGGCUCCUAUGGUCAGCGGGUCCCUCCGGAUAGCACACGAGGUGGUGGGAAGCACCACCCCUCUCUUGUUGCAGGCAGAGACCCUCUCCCUUCCAGCUGGGUGGAGUGGGGGACAGAUGUACUGAUGGGUCUGGCUGGUGGCCAUAGUAGGCACAUGUUGAAGUGGUACAAGGAAGUUCACUGCAUAUCCAGAACAGGGGAAAACUUCCCCCAGUAAAGAAGAAGAAUCUGGGGCCAAGGGAACACUCAACACCAGGCUUCUAUAAUGGGGAAUGUUCCAGGCCCAGGGUGCCUAUUGGACGGGCCUGGAGAGGGGUGGCAGGUUGCUCAAUGGCUGCUUCUGCUGCACUGGCCUGGAUUUCACUAUAUGGUGACAGCAUUCAAAGAGCACAAGAGUGGAAAUGCAAUACAAAUUGGAGUCUAGGUUCAGAACUUAUAAUUCUCCAUCUACAACCAAUGGACCAAUAGAAUUAUCAACCAAAACCCCUCACAGAUUCACUGGGUGGGGAGGUGGGGAA